CCUACGGGUGACUGCAGUGGGGGAUAUUGCACAAUGGGGGAAACCCUGAUGCAGCGACGCCGCGUGGGUGAAGAAGCGCCUCGGCGCGUAAAGCCCUGUCAGCAGGGAAGAAAAUGACGUUACCUGAUGAAGAAUCACCGGCUAACUACUUGCCAGCAGCCGCGGUAAUACGUAGGGGGCAAGCGUUAUCCGGUUGUACUGGGUGUAACGGGGGCGCAGACGGCGAUGCAAGCCAGGAGGGAAAGCCCGGGGCCCAACCCCGGGACUGCUCUUGGAAAUGCGUGGCUAGAGUGCAGGAGGGGUAAGCGGAAGUCCUGGUGUAGCGGUGAAAUGCGUAGAGAUCAGGAGGAACACCGGUGGCGAAGGCGGCCAGCUGGACUGCAACUGACGUUGAGGCGCGAAAGCGUGGGGAGCAAACAGGAGUAGAUACCCUUGUAGUC
RNAcentral lists this ribosomal RNA (440 nucleotides) under uncultured bacterium. RNAcentral describes it as "partial 16S ribosomal RNA". It matches the Rfam family "Bacterial small subunit ribosomal RNA", at positions 338 to 795 of the family's 1533-position model. The record is from RNAcentral.